UUAAUGCAUCAUUUAUUUAUAACUUUUUAACAGCAGUGUGUAUAUGUAUGUUUUAUUUUAAUGAUAUAUUGACAAAUUCUAUACUAAUAUUUAAUCACAGUACAUGCAAUGUAUUAAUUAUAUAUAUAUAUAACUUAUUAAUAUAUACCUAAAAACUUAAAUUUUGUUGGACCUUUUGAACUAAUGAAAAGUAUAUUCUUAUGAAAACAAAUGUUGUAUUUCUACACCCAAAUUACUGAAACAGCAUUAAAAGAUUUGAAGAUAUCAUAGCUCUGUAUAGAGUAAGUUCAGUCCAAAAGGAUGGUCAAGAAGCCGAUGAGAGAACACAGGAAUUCUCCUGGAUGUGUCUAAUGAGGAAAUUGAAACGCUCAAGUCCCUCUGACAAAUACGCUUAAAUGAAGUCAUUCAAGAUUACUCAAGAGAUGCUGCACUGAUUAUUGUAAUGAUGCCCAUGGGGGAAGAGGGGUGUGUCCUAUUGUCCUUUACAUGGCUUGGCUAGAGAUUGUGUCACGUGACCUUCGACCUCCAGUUCUUCUUGUCCGAGGCAAUCAGGAGAAUGUGCUGACGAUGUACACCACAUUUUCCUGACAAAACUGUUCACACACGUACAUCAGAUGAAAAGAAACUCAACUUAUUAAUGACGUUAAAAAU
Long non-coding RNA from Cyprinus carpio (common carp), 651 nucleotides. RefSeq lists it as uncharacterized. Lineage: Eukaryota; Metazoa; Chordata; Actinopteri; Cypriniformes; Cyprinidae. The record is from RefSeq and is a predicted model, not a curated record. The transcript has 3 exons.